UUACGUAUUUAACGUACGUAUAAAAGUAGUCGGACAUAUUGUUCAAAUUAUGUGUAAUAUUUGUGUGUAACUCUUCUUUAUUGCGCGGAUUAACGUGAUUUUAAAAAUUAUAUCGCCUCACCUCUCCCCUCCCAGAACGAAUCACUAUCAUGCCUUUGUCACGGUGUGCGUUAUAUGGUUUGCAAAGCCGGUGUGCUUUACCGAAAUCACCCUGUAGAGUGUAAGUAUACCGGGUAGCUAU
Molecule: non-coding RNA, 241 nt
Organism: Cinara cedri
Lineage: Eukaryota; Metazoa; Arthropoda; Insecta; Hemiptera; Aphididae
Source: the annotation of a GenBank genome assembly